Molecule: ribosomal RNA, 332 nt
Filed under: uncultured bacterium
Lineage: Bacteria
Description: bacterial SSU rRNA
Rfam family: Bacterial small subunit ribosomal RNA
Source: RNAcentral
CGCGUAGGCGGCUUUGCAAGUCAGAUGUGAAAGCCCCGGGCUUAACUCGGGAAUUGCAUCUGAAACUGCUUAGCUUGAGUCCUGGAGGGGGUAGUGGAAUUCCCAGUGUAGCGGUGAAAUGCGUAGAUAUUGGGAGGAACACCUGCGGCGAAGGCGGCUACCUGGACAGUGACUGACGCUGAUGCGCGAAAGCUAGGGGAGCAAACGGGAUUAGAUACCCCGGUAGUCCUAGCCGUAAACGAUGGGCACUUGGUGUCGGGGGUAUUGAGUCCCCCGGUGCCGGAGUUAACACGUUAAGUGCCCCGCCUGGGGAGUACGGUCGCAAGACUGAA